Molecule: ribosomal RNA, 2899 nt
Filed under: Escherichia coli DEC6A
Lineage: Bacteria; Pseudomonadati; Pseudomonadota; Gammaproteobacteria; Enterobacterales; Enterobacteriaceae
Description: bacterial LSU rRNA
Rfam family: Bacterial large subunit ribosomal RNA
Source: RNAcentral
UAAGCGACUAAGCGUACACGGUGGAUGCCCUGGCAGUCAGAGGCGAUGAAGGACGUGCUAAUCUGCGAUAAGCGUCGGUAAGGUGAUAUGAACCGUUAUAACCGGCGAUUUCCGAAUGGGGAAACCCAGUGUGUUUCGACACACUAUCAUUAACUGAAUCCAUAGGUUAAUGAGGCGAACCGGGGGAACUGAAACAUCUAAGUACCCCGAGGAAAAGAAAUCAACCGAGAUUCCCCCAGUAGCGGCGAGCGAACGGGGAGCAGCCCAGAGCCUGAAUCAGUGUGUGUGUUAGUGGAAGCGUCUGGAAAGGCGCGCGAUACAGGGUGACAGCCCCGUACACAAAAAUGCACAUGCUGUGAGCUCGAUGAGUAGGGCGGGACACGUGGUAUCCUGUCUGAAUAUGGGGGGACCAUCCUCCAAGGCUAAAUACUCCUGACUGACCGAUAGUGAACCAGUACCGUGAGGGAAAGGCGAAAAGAACCCCGGCGAGGGGAGUGAAAAAGAACCUGAAACCGUGUACGUACAAGCAGUGGGAGCACGCUUAGGCGUGUGACUGCGUACCUUUUGUAUAAUGGGUCAGCGACUUAUAUUCUGUAGCAAGGUUAACCGAAUAGGGGAGCCGAAGGGAAACCGAGUCUUAACUGGGCGUUAAGUUGCAGGGUAUAGACCCGAAACCCGGUGAUCUAGCCAUGGGCAGGUUGAAGGUUGGGUAACACUAACUGGAGGACCGAACCGACUAAUGUUGAAAAAUUAGCGGAUGACUUGUGGCUGGGGGUGAAAGGCCAAUCAAACCGGGAGAUAGCUGGUUCUCCCCGAAAGCUAUUUAGGUAGCGCCUCGUGAAUUCAUCUCCGGGGGUAGAGCACUGUUUCGGCAAGGGGGUCAUCCCGACUUACCAACCCGAUGCAAACUGCGAAUACCGGAGAAUGUUAUCACGGGAGACACACGGCGGGUGCUAACGUCCGUCGUGAAGAGGGAAACAACCCAGACCGCCAGCUAAGGUCCCAAAGUCAUGGUUAAGUGGGAAACGAUGUGGGAAGGCCCAGACAGCCAGGAUGUUGGCUUAGAAGCAGCCAUCAUUUAAAGAAAGCGUAAUAGCUCACUGGUCGAGUCGGCCUGCGCGGAAGAUGUAACGGGGCUAAACCAUGCACCGAAGCUGCGGCAGCGACACUAUGUGUUGUUGGGUAGGGGAGCGUUCUGUAAGCCUGUGAAGGUGUACUGUGAGGUAUGCUGGAGGUAUCAGAAGUGCGAAUGCUGACAUAAGUAACGAUAAAGCGGGUGAAAAGCCCGCUCGCCGGAAGACCAAGGGUUCCUGUCCAACGUUAAUCGGGGCAGGGUGAGUCGACCCCUAAGGCGAGGCCGAAAGGCGUAGUCGAUGGGAAACAGGUUAAUAUUCCUGUACUUGGUGUUACUGCGAAGGGGGGACGGAGAAGGCUAUGUUGGCCGGGCGACGGUUGUCCCGGUUUAAGCGUGUAGGCUGGUUUUCCAGGCAAAUCCGGAAAAUCAAGGCUGAGGCGUGAUGACGAGGCACUACGGUGCUGAAGCAACAAAUGCCCUGCUUCCAGGAAAAGCCUCUAAGCAUCAGGUAACAUCAAAUCGUACCCCAAACCGACACAGGUGGUCAGGUAGAGAAUACCAAGGCGCUUGAGAGAACUCGGGUGAAGGAACUAGGCAAAAUGGUGCCGUAACUUCGGGAGAAGGCACGCUGAUAUGUAGGUGAGGUCCCUCGCGGAUGGAGCUGAAAUCAGUCGAAGAUACCAGCUGGCUGCAACUGUUUAUUAAAAACACAGCACUGUGCAAACACGAAAGUGGAAGUAUACGGUGUGACGCCUGCCCGGUGCCGGAAGGUUAAUUGAUGGGGUUAGCGCAAGCGAAGCUCUUGAUCGAAGCCCCGGUAAACGGCGGCCGUAACUAUAACGGUCCUAAGGUAGCGAAAUUCCUUGUCGGGUAAGUUCCGACCUGCACGAAUGGCGUAAUGAUGGCCAGGCUGUCUCCACCCGAGACUCAGUGAAAUUGAACUCGCUGUGAAGAUGCAGUGUACCCGCGGCAAGACGGAAAGACCCCGUGAACCUUUACUAUAGCUUGACACUGAACAUUGAGCCUUGAUGUGUAGGAUAGGUGGGAGGCUUAGAAGUGUGGACGCCAGUCUGCAUGGAGCCGACCUUGAAAUACCACCCUUUAAUGUUUGAUGUUCUAACGUUGACCCGUAAUCCGGGUUGCGGACAGUGUCUGGUGGGUAGUUUGACUGGGGCGGUCUCCUCCUAAAGAGUAACGGAGGAGCACGAAGGUUGGCUAAUCCUGGUCGGACAUCAGGAGGUUAGUGCAAUGGCAUAAGCCAGCUUGACUGCGAGCGUGACGGCGCGAGCAGGUGCGAAAGCAGGUCAUAGUGAUCCGGUGGUUCUGAAUGGAAGGGCCAUCGCUCAACGGAUAAAAGGUACUCCGGGGAUAACAGGCUGAUACCGCCCAAGAGUUCAUAUCGACGGCGGUGUUUGGCACCUCGAUGUCGGCUCAUCACAUCCUGGGGCUGAAGUAGGUCCCAAGGGUAUGGCUGUUCGCCAUUUAAAGUGGUACGCGAGCUGGGUUUAGAACGUCGUGAGACAGUUCGGUCCCUAUCUGCCGUGGGCGCUGGAGAACUGAGGGGGGCUGCUCCUAGUACGAGAGGACCGGAGUGGACGCAUCACUGGUGUUCGGGUUGUCAUGCCAAUGGCACUGCCCGGUAGCUAAAUGCGGAAGAGAUAAGUGCUGAAAGCAUCUAAGCACGAAACUUGCCCCGAGAUGAGUUCUCCCUGACUCCUUGAGAGUCCUGAAGGAACGUUGAAGACGACGACGUUGAUAGGCCGGGUGUGUAAGCGCAGCGAUGCGUUGAGCUAACCGGUACUAAUGAACCGUGAGGCUUAACCU